Molecule: ribosomal RNA, 429 nt
Filed under: Pseudomonadota bacterium
Lineage: Bacteria; Pseudomonadati; Pseudomonadota
Description: Proteobacteria bacterium partial 16S ribosomal RNA
Rfam family: Bacterial small subunit ribosomal RNA
Source: RNAcentral
UGGGGAAUAUUGGACAAUGGGCGAAAGCCUGAUCCAGCCAUGCCGCGUGUGUGAAGAAGGUCUUCGGAUUGUAAAGCACUUUAAGUUGGGAGGAAGGGCAGUAAGCGAAUACCUUGCUGUUUUGACGUUACCGACAGAAUAAGCACCGGCUAACUCUGUGCCAGCAGCCGCGGUAAUACAGAGGGUGCAAGCGUUAAUCGGAAUUACUGGGCGUAAAGCGCGCGUAGGUGGUUCGUUAGGUGGAAUGUGAAAGCCCCGGGCUCAACCUGGGAACUGCAUCCAAAAGAGGGGAGCUAGAGUAGGGCAGAGGGUGGUGGAAUUUCCUGUGUGGCGGUGAAAUGCGUAGAUAUAGGAAGGAACACCAGUGGCGAAGGCGACCACCUGGGCUCAUACUGACACUGGGGUGCGAAAGCGUGGGGAGCAAACAGG